This 75-nucleotide transfer RNA is filed under the name Brevibacillus sp. SYP-B805. RNAcentral's name for it is "tRNA-Cys". It matches the Rfam family "tRNA". From Rfam's summary of the family: Transfer RNA (tRNA) molecules are approximately 80 nucleotides in length. Their secondary structure includes four short double-helical elements and three loops (D, anti-codon, and T loops). Lineage: Bacteria; Bacillati; Bacillota; Bacilli; Caryophanales; Paenibacillaceae. The record is from RNAcentral.
GGGAGUAUAGCCAAGUGGUAAGGCACGAGUCUGCAAAACUCUUAUGCCCCGGUUCGAAUCCGGGUACUCCCUCCA